AAUUUCUUUCUCUCACGUCCUUCUUCUCCUAUCUUUCUCUUUAAUCCUCUCAUCUUCUUCUAGACAAUUUCGAACCGAUGAACCAAAUUGGGCACUCCACAUUCACCAUUGAUGUUUCCUUUAGCCAAUGACGAAGUGAUGAACAAGGAGCCUCGCGUCCUCCUCCUUAGCCAGAACAAUAUGAUGCUAGGUUUACUAUUUUUGAGGUUGGUGGAAGUGUGAUGGCUUGGUUGUGGAUGAUUGUAGUGGCUGAGGUUGGUGGAAGCGUGCUACCUUGGUUGUGGAUGAUUGCGGUGCAAUUCAAGUCGGUGCACUUCAAUCUAAAGAUGUUAGCACUUUGAUAAUUAAUAAUUAGUUAUGUUAGAAACCUUGUAACAUAAUUUUUAUUCCUCUAGGAUUGAAAUACUUGUAUUUUAAUUUUUUUUAUAAAUAAAAUGUUAUUAUUAUGGUGUUUUAUU
This is a long non-coding RNA of Chenopodium quinoa (quinoa), 458 nucleotides long. RefSeq lists it as uncharacterized. The record is from RefSeq and is a predicted model, not a curated record. The transcript has 2 exons. NCBI's taxonomy places the organism in Eukaryota, Viridiplantae, Streptophyta, Magnoliopsida, Caryophyllales, Amaranthaceae.